AGUGAACGCUGGCGGUAGGCCUAACACAUGCCAGUCGAACGGCAGCACAGUAAGAGCUUGCUCUUACGGGUGGCGAGUGGCGGACGGGUGAGGAAUACAUCGGAAUCUACUUUUUCGUGGGGGAUAACGUAGGGAAACUUACGCUAAUACCGCAUACGACCUACGGGUGAAAUCAGGGGAUCUUCGGACCUUGCGCGAUUGAAUGAGCCGAUGUCGGAUUAGCUAGUUGGCGGGGUAAAGGCCCACCAAGGCGACGAUCCGUAGCUGGUCUGAGAGGAUGGUCAGCCACACUGGAACUGAGACACGGUCCAGACUCCUACGGGAGGCAGCAGUGGGGAAUAUUGGACAAUGGGCGCAAGCCUGAUCCAGCCAUACCGCGUGGGUGAAGAAGGCCUUCGGGUUGUAAAGCCCUUUUGUUGGGAAAGAAAAGCAGCAGGUUAAUACCCCGCUGUUCUGACGGUACCCAAAGAAUAAGCACCGGCUAACUUCGUG
This 492-nucleotide ribosomal RNA is filed under the name uncultured bacterium. RNAcentral's name for it is "partial 16S ribosomal RNA". It matches the Rfam family "Bacterial small subunit ribosomal RNA", at positions 29 to 507 of the family's 1533-position model. The record is from RNAcentral.